RNAcentral lists this ribosomal RNA (495 nucleotides) under uncultured bacterium. RNAcentral describes it as "partial 16S ribosomal RNA". It matches the Rfam family "Bacterial small subunit ribosomal RNA", at positions 29 to 506 of the family's 1533-position model. The record is from RNAcentral.
AUGAACGCUGGCGGCGUGCCUAAUCCCUGCAAGUCGCGCGCACAGACGAGGAGCUUGCUCCUCUGACGUUAGCGGCGGACGGGUGAGUAACACGUGGAUAACCUACCUAUAAGACUGGGAUAACUUCGGGAAACCGGAGCUAAUACCGGAUAAUAUAUUGAACCGCAUGGUUCAAUAGUGAAAGACGGUUUUGCUGUCACUUAUAGAUGGAUCCGCGCCGCAUUAGCUAGUUGGUAAGGUAACGGCUUACCAAGGCGACGAUGCGUAGCCGACCUGAGAGGGUGAUCGGCCACACUGGAACUGAGACACGGUCCAGACUCCUACGGGAGGCAGCAGUAGGGAAUCUUCCGCAAUGGGCGAAAGCCUGACGGAGCAACGCCGCGUGAGUGAUGAAGGUCUUCGGAUCGUAAAACGCUGUUAUUAGGGAAGAACAAAUGUGUAAGUAACUAUGCACGUCUUGACGGUACCUAAUCAGAAAGCCACGGCUAACUACGU